This 487-nucleotide ribosomal RNA is filed under the name uncultured bacterium. RNAcentral's name for it is "partial 16S ribosomal RNA". It matches the Rfam family "Bacterial small subunit ribosomal RNA", at positions 28 to 507 of the family's 1533-position model. The record is from RNAcentral.
GAUGAACGCUAGCGGCAGGCUUAACACAUGCAAGUCGAGGGGCAGCAUAAUGGAUAGCAAUAUCUAUGGUGGCGACCGGCGCACGGGUGCGUAACGCGUAUGCAACCUACCUUUAACAGGGGGUAAACACUGGGAAUUGGGUCUAAAACCCCAAUAUUAUCUAAAAGGGAUUUUUUAAGGUUUGAAAUUUCGGAGGGUAAGAGAGGGCAUGCGUUGUAUUAGCUAGUUGGGGGGGUAACGGCUCACCAAGGCGACGAUACAUAGGGGGACUGAGAGGUUAACCCCCCACACUGGUACUGAGACACGGACCAGACUCCUACGGGAGGCAGCAGUGAGGAAUAUUGGUCAAUGGACGCAAGUCUGAACCAGCCAUGCCGCGUGCAGGAUGACGGCUCUAUGAGUUGUAAACUGCUUUUGUACGAGGGUAAACGCAGAUACGUGUAUCUGUCUGAAAGUAUCGUACGAAUAAGGAUCGGCUAACUCCGUG